AUCUCCGUAGGUGACGGAGUAGUCGCCGAUCCGUUCGGCGCGGAUGUCCACGGCCGCGAGGCCCGCGCCGUCCGGGUCGGCCCGGUAGUC
This 90-nucleotide transfer RNA is filed under the name Streptomyces lacrimifluminis. RNAcentral describes it as "tRNA-Arg". Lineage: Bacteria; Bacillati; Actinomycetota; Actinomycetes; Kitasatosporales; Streptomycetaceae. The record is from RNAcentral.